UACGUAGGUCCCGAGCGUUGUCCGGAUUUAUUGGGCGUAAAGCGAGCGCAGGUGGUUAUUAAGUCUGGUGUAAAAGGCAGUGGCUCAACCAUUGUAUGCAUUGGAAACUGGUAGACUUGAGUGCAGGAGAGGAGAGUGGAAUUCCAUGUGUAGCGGUGAAAUGCGUAGAUAUAUGGAGGAACACCGGUGGCGAAAGCGGCUCUCUGGCCUGUAACUGACACUGAGGCUCGAAAGCGUGGGGAGCAAACAGG
RNAcentral lists this ribosomal RNA (251 nucleotides) under uncultured bacterium. RNAcentral describes it as "partial 16S ribosomal RNA". It matches the Rfam family "Bacterial small subunit ribosomal RNA", at positions 524 to 776 of the family's 1533-position model. The record is from RNAcentral.